This 320-nucleotide ribosomal RNA is filed under the name uncultured eukaryote. RNAcentral's name for it is "partial 18S ribosomal RNA". It matches the Rfam family "Eukaryotic small subunit ribosomal RNA", at positions 1470 to 1796 of the family's 1831-position model. The record is from RNAcentral.
CCCCUAGAUGUUCUGGGCCGCACGCGCGCUACACUGAACAGUUCAACAAGUCUUAACCUUGGCCGAUAGGUCUGGGUAAUCUUUGAACGCUGUUCGUGACUGGGAUAGACCUUUGCAAUUAUGGGUCUUCAACGAGGAAUUCCUAGUAAACGCAAGUCAUCAGCUUGCAUUGAUUACGUCCCUGCCCUUUGUACACACCGCCCGUCGCACCUACCGAUUGAAUGGUCCGGUGAAAUCUCGGGACGGCGGCUUGGUCGCUUGCGUCCGACUGCUGAAACUUGAUUAAACCAUAUCAUUUAGAGGAAGGUGAAGUCGUAGCA